UACGUAGGGCGCAAGCGUUGUCCGGAAUUAUUGGGCGUAAAGAGCUCGUAGGCGGUUUGUCGCGUCGGCUGUGAAAUCCCGAGGCUCAACCUCGGGCCUGCAGUCGAUACGGGCAAACUAGAGUGUGGUAGGGGAGACUGGAAUUCCUGGUGUAGCGGUGAAAUGCGCAGAUAUCAGGAGGAACACCGGCGGCGAAGGCGGGUCUCUGGGCCAUAACUGACGCUGAGGAGCGAAAGCGUGGGGAGCGAACAGG
RNAcentral lists this ribosomal RNA (253 nucleotides) under uncultured bacterium. Its description in RNAcentral is "partial 16S ribosomal RNA". It matches the Rfam family "Bacterial small subunit ribosomal RNA", at positions 524 to 776 of the family's 1533-position model. The record is from RNAcentral.